This 61-nucleotide transfer RNA is filed under the name unidentified. Its description in RNAcentral is "Spelaeomysis bottazzii tRNA-Leu". The record is from RNAcentral.
UCUAAUAUAGUAUAUAAAGUACUUAAAGUUUAAGCCUUUACGGUAGAUUUUCUUAUUAGAA